AUUGAACGCUGGCGGCAGGCCUAACACAUGCAAGUCGAACGAGUGGCGGACGGGUGAGUAAUGUCUGGGAAACUGCCUGAUGGAGGGGGAUAACUACUGGAAACGGUAGCUAAUACCGCAUACCAUCGGAUGUGCCCAGAUGGGAUUAGCUAGUAGGUGGGGUAACGGCUCACCUAGGCGACGAUCCCUAGCUGGUCUGAGAGGAUGACCAGCCACACUGGAAAUGGGGCACGGUCCAGACUCCAACGGGAGGCAGCAGUGGGGAAUAUUGCACAAUGGGCGAAAGCCUGAUGCAGCCAUGCCGCGUGUAUGAAGAAGGCCGUCGGGUUGUAAAGUACGUUCAGCGGGGAGGCGUUACCCGCAGAAGAAGCACCGGCUAACUACGUGCCAGCAGCCGCGGUAAUUC
RNAcentral lists this ribosomal RNA (406 nucleotides) under uncultured bacterium. Its description in RNAcentral is "partial 16S ribosomal RNA". It matches the Rfam family "Bacterial small subunit ribosomal RNA", at positions 30 to 526 of the family's 1533-position model. The record is from RNAcentral.